GGGAAUAUUGCACAAUGGGGGAAACCCUGAUGCAGCGACGCCGCGUGAGUGAAGAAGCGCCUCGGCGCGUAAAGCUCUGUCAGCAGGAACGAUAAUGACGGUACCUGAAGAAGAAGCCCCGGCUAACUACGUGCCAGCAGCCGCGGUAAUACGUAGGGGGCAAGCGUUAUCCGGAUUUACUGGGUGUAAAGGGAGCGUAGACGGCGGGGCAAGUCUGGAGUGAAAUGCCGGGGCUUAACCCCGGAACUGCUUUGGAAACUGUGCAGCUAGAGUGCAGGAGAGGUAAGUGGAAUUCCUAGUGUAGCGGUGAAAUGCGUAGAUAUUAGGAGGAACACCAGUGGCGAAGGCGGCUUACUGGACUGUAACUGACGUUGAGGCUCGAAAGCGUGGGGAGCAAACAG
This 401-nucleotide ribosomal RNA is filed under the name uncultured bacterium. Its description in RNAcentral is "bacterial SSU rRNA". It matches the Rfam family "Bacterial small subunit ribosomal RNA", at positions 357 to 775 of the family's 1533-position model. The record is from RNAcentral.